AGCAGCCGCGGUAAUUCCAGCUCCAAUAGCGUAUAUUAAAGUUGUUGCAGUUAAAAAGCUCGUAGUUGAACUUCGGGGUUUACCCAUUGGUCAGGCUUAAUUGUCUGUACUGGUGAGAUAAAUCUCUACCUUCUGAGGAACUUUCAUGCCAUUUAUUUGGUGUGAUUGGAAAUCAGGACUAUUACUUUGAAAAAUUAGAGUGUUUAAAGCAGGCUAAAGUCUGAAUACAUUAGCAUGGAAUAAUGAAAUAGGACGGAUUGAUUCUAUUUCGUUGGUUUCUAGGAUCACCGUAAUGAUUAAUAGGGAUAGUUGGGGGCAUUAGUAUUCAAUUGUCAGAGGUGAAAUUCUUGGAUUUAUUGAAGACUAACUACUGCGAAAGCAUUUGCCAAGGAUGUUUUCAUUAAUCAAGAACGAAAGUUAGGGGAUCGAAGACGAUCAGAUACCGUCGUAGUCUUAACUAUAAACGAUGCCGACCAGGGAUCCGGGGUCUCCUAUGGAUGACUCCCGG
RNAcentral lists this small RNA (508 nucleotides) under uncultured Diversispora. RNAcentral's name for it is "SSU rRNA". It matches the Rfam family "Eukaryotic small subunit ribosomal RNA", at positions 569 to 1082 of the family's 1831-position model. Lineage: Eukaryota; Fungi; Glomeromycota; Glomeromycetes; Diversisporales; Diversisporaceae. The record is from RNAcentral.